ACGAACGCUGGCGGCGUGCUUAACACAUGCAAGUCGAACGGAAAGGCCCUGCUUUUGUGGGGUGCUCGAGUGGCGAACGGGUGAGUAACACGUGAGUAACCUGCCCUUGACUUUGGGAUAACUUCAGGAAACUGGGGCUAAUACCGGAUAGGAGCUCCUGCUGCAUGGUGGGGGUUGGAAAGUUUCGGCGGUUGGGGAUGGACUCGCGGCUUAUCAGCUUGUUGGUGGGGUAGUGGCUUACCAAGGCUUUGACGGGUAGCCGGCCUGAGAGGGUGACCGGCCACAAUGGGACUGAGAGACGGCCCAGACUCCUACGGGGGGCAACAGGGGGGAAUAUUGCACAAUGGGCGGAAGCCUGAUGCAGAAACGCCGGGGGCGGGAUGACGGCCUUUGGGUUGUAAACCGCUUUCGCCUGUGACGAAGCGUGAGUGACGGUAAUGGGUAAAGAAGCACCGGCUAACUACGUG
This 467-nucleotide ribosomal RNA is filed under the name uncultured bacterium. RNAcentral's name for it is "partial 16S ribosomal RNA". It matches the Rfam family "Bacterial small subunit ribosomal RNA", at positions 29 to 507 of the family's 1533-position model. The record is from RNAcentral.